UACGAAGGGGGCUAGCGUUGUUCGGAUUUACUGGGCGUAAAGGGCGCGUAGGCGGGCGACUAAGUCAGGGGUGAAAUCCCAAGGCUCAACCUUGGAACUGCCUUUGAUACUGGUUGUCUUGAGUCCGGGAGAGGUGAGUGGAACUGCGAGUGUAGAGGUGAAAUUCGUAGAUAUUCGCAAGAACACCAGUGGCGAAGGCGGCUCACUGGCCCGGAACUGACGCUGAGGCGCGAAAGCUAGGGGAGCAAACGGG
RNAcentral lists this ribosomal RNA (253 nucleotides) under uncultured bacterium. RNAcentral describes it as "partial 16S ribosomal RNA". It matches the Rfam family "Bacterial small subunit ribosomal RNA", at positions 524 to 776 of the family's 1533-position model. The record is from RNAcentral.